This 961-nucleotide long non-coding RNA is filed under the name Homo sapiens (human). RNAcentral's name for it is "HSALNT0137161". The record is from RNAcentral. Lineage: Eukaryota; Metazoa; Chordata; Mammalia; Primates; Hominidae.
UACAUUCUCAUAAGGAGCGUGCAACCCAGAUCUCUCCCAUGCACAGUUCACAGUAGGGUUGGUUCGCGCUCCUGUGAGAAUCAGAUGCUGCUGCUGACCUGACAGGAGGCGGAGCUCAGGCUAUAAUGCUCACUAGCCUGUCGUUCACCUCCUGCUGUGCUGCUGGAUUCCUACCAGGCCAUGGACCAGUACUGGUCCGUGGCCUGGGGAUUGGGAACCCCUGGCCUAUAGUAUAUGCUCCAUAAGUAUUUAUUCAGUUAGUAAUUUGGGUAAUGAAAAGGAAAUAAUGACUUUCUGGGCAAAUUCUCUAUUGCCAGUUCCAAAUUCACCUAAGUCUCCAUCCCGCCAGACAAUUCUUUAACAAGAGUAGCCUCUCCUAUCACUUCACUGCUGAUUUCAAAUUGUGUGCCUUCCUCAUGGCCCAUCCUCUACUCAGUCCUUUCUGGAUUCUUUGAAGAUCUAGUAUUCUACUUGAUUGAUAAAUUGAAAGAGGAAUUUUAGAAAUUUGGCUCUUUCAUUUCGUGUCUAUAACUCCCUCUCCCUUCCAAUUUCUUUCUAGAUCAAUAUCAAAAUGAGAGCAAGCAAGGUGGCCAGCAAAGGGUGUGCCUGAGGUCCUCCAGAGUUCUCCAGGGAAGAGAGCAACAAGAAACCCCAGGGGCGAGGUGACAGACUAAAGCCUAGUGGCUAAGGGAAGGGGGCGCCUCGCUGAGGGCCUGGGAUGGAGUGGCUCCUUGAAAUGUCUCAGUCAUCAAAACCUGUGAAUCCCUCAGAAGUGGGGUGUGCUCCUCACCUUGCUGUGGAAGGUCCUAGGAGGACCUGCCCAGUUCUCCUAAUCCCAAGGAGCCUGCAAGGAGACCAGCAGAAUGGUAAACCCAGAUGUUUCGAUGGAUGCAGAAAUGAUGGUAGAUAAGCAGUACAUUCUUCUCUCAGGAGCAUGAGGAGAGAUAAAACUUGUUCUUUG